UUGUAAAUUUGAAAUUCUUUCUAAUAAUUCUCCAAACUAUUAUAAAGCUCCCUCUUUCUCUCUCUAAACAUCUAGCUAGUGAGAGGAAGUAUGGAAGUAAGAUUUUUCAAGGGUUUUAAAGUGAGAGAGUGAAAAAGCACAAAGGUUCUAUGAAAGGGUACACAAAAGCAUGAAAGGUGAAACUGGCUUGAGAGAGUUAUGGAAGCUUGAAGAGAACUCCCAUGGAGGAUGAAGAAACAUGAG
Molecule: long non-coding RNA, 243 nt
Filed under: Theobroma cacao (cacao)
Lineage: Eukaryota; Viridiplantae; Streptophyta; Magnoliopsida; Malvales; Malvaceae
Description: long non-coding RNA (TCAC_LNC000895)
Source: RNAcentral